GAUGAACGCUGGCGGCGUGCCUAAUACAUGCAAGUCGAGCGAAAAGACGCUGAGCUUGCUCCUCUGACGUUAGCGGAGGACGGGUGAGUAACACGUGUAUAACCUCCCUGUAAGACUGGUAUAACUUCGGAAAACCGGCGCUAAUAGCGUAUGAUAUAUUGAAGCGUGUGGGGGAAUAGUGAAAUACGGUUGUGCGGUCAGUUAUAGAGGGAUCUGCGCCGCAUUGGCUAGUAGUGAAGGUAACGGGCUACCAAGGCUACGAUGCGUAGCCCAACUGAUAGGGGGAUAGGCGACAUGAGAAGGGAGCCACGGUCAAGGGUCCUACGGGACGCAGCAGUAGGGAACGUGCCGCAGUAGUGGAGAACUUGACGCAGCAACGCCGCGUGUGUGAUGAAGGUCUUCGGAUCGUGAAAAUCUGUUAUGAGUGAAGAACCAAUGUGUAAGUAAAUAUGCACGUAUUGACGGUACCGAAUCAGAAAGCCACGGCUAACUACGUG
Molecule: ribosomal RNA, 497 nt
Filed under: uncultured bacterium
Lineage: Bacteria
Description: partial 16S ribosomal RNA
Rfam family: Bacterial small subunit ribosomal RNA
Source: RNAcentral